UACGUAGGGGCCUAGCGUUGUCCGGAUUUAUUGGGCGUAAAGAGCUCGUAGGUGGUUCGGUAAGUCGGAUGUGAAAUCUCCAGGCUCAACCUGGAGGGGUCAUUCGAUACUGCCGUGACUAGAGUUCGGUAGAGGAGUGUGGAAUUCCUGGUGGAGCGGUGAAAUGCGCAGAGAUCAGGAGGAACACCCGUAGCGAAGGCGGCACUCUGGGCCGAUACUGACACUGAGGAGCGAAAGCGUGGGGAGCGAACAGG
This 254-nucleotide ribosomal RNA is filed under the name uncultured bacterium. Its description in RNAcentral is "partial 16S ribosomal RNA". It matches the Rfam family "Bacterial small subunit ribosomal RNA", at positions 524 to 776 of the family's 1533-position model. The record is from RNAcentral.